AUUGAACGCUGGCGGCAGGCCUAACACAUGCAAGUCGAGCGGAGCGGCGGACGGGUGAGUAUUGCUUAGGAAUCUGCAUGUUAGUGGGGGAUACCGACAGGCAAGGGGCGCUAAUACGCCUUACUAUCAGAUGAGCCUAGGUCGCAUUAGCUAGGUGGUGGGGGAAAGGCCUACCAAGGCGACGACCCGUAACUGGUCUGAGAGGAUGAUCAGUCACACUGGAACUGAGACACGGUCCAGACUCCUACGGGAGGCAGCAGUGGGGAAUAUUGGACAAUGGGCGAAAGCCUGAUCCAGCCAUGCCGCGUGUGUGAAGAAGGUCUUCGGAUUGUAAAGCACUUUAAGUUGGGAGGCGUUACCAACAGAAUAAGCACCGGCUAACUUCGUGCCAGCAGCCGCGGUAAUUC
This 407-nucleotide ribosomal RNA is filed under the name uncultured bacterium. RNAcentral describes it as "partial 16S ribosomal RNA". It matches the Rfam family "Bacterial small subunit ribosomal RNA", at positions 30 to 526 of the family's 1533-position model. The record is from RNAcentral.